AGUUCUGUAGACAGAUAUUGAAAAGGCAUCUGGAAAAAUUGAUAGCAUAUCAAGGCAAAGAUUUCAUAAAAGUCAUUUUUUUUCAAUGUCCAGCCAUAGGUACCAGCGUGCACUCCUCACAGACACGCAUUCAAGGUCCCCAAAGGCCUUUUCUCUGAUCUUAGAGCGCCCCCUUUGGAAACGACGCUCUUACUGCAACCGGCCAGGCAGGCUUCUUUCCGCGCGUUUGAGCUCUGGGAUACGCACGCACGGGGAGAAGGGAAGGGAUGGUGGACCUGAGUGUGAGACAGACUUCUCUACGUCCCAUCCAAGUGAGAGCCUGUUCAAACUAGGCUUGUAUGUAGUUUGAUCUCUUUAGACCUCAGUGUGCUCAUAGAAAGCGGCCGGGCUGACGCAAUGCCUUGUGAUGAAGGCAGCAACCCCCGACCGACCCCCACCACCACCACCACCACCACCACAGAUCUAGUAAAGCUGAUUUGUAUGGAGAUUUAUAUGGAAAUGCAGCCACCUUUCCUCUAAAUCCAAAGCCGUGCACUUGGUGAUAAACAGCGCUAAUGUGAUGUUAACUCUAUUUAUAUGACUGUCUGUCCCAGGAGAUGAGAUUUACAUAUACACUAAGUGUAUCUCACCAGUACCUAAGAGUAAUGUUUUAUUUUACUGCCUCUGGAUACCUGGUAGCAACUCAGGCCAUUAAAGAAGCAUCACACACACACACAUAUUCACCUGGAAACACAGUAGCAGCAGGAGAUAGAUGGGGACGAUCCUGGCAGGAAGGUCCCACUUUACAGGUAUAAGUGGCAAACAACCUUCUGUUCCAACUGUCUGUACGGUUCUUAGAGAUGCUAAAAGGGACCUUUCAGGGUCAUCCUAUCCCUUUACGCCUCAGAGUUAUUCAGAUGAAAGUAGAGUUUAGAGCCCAAAUUAUUUGAAUCAUUGUCUAAAUCCUCUCUUUUGGUUUGGCCAGAAUGAGAUCCUUUGUAGGUUUGAAUCUGAAAACAUGCUAGUCAGUGAGCCCCAUGCCUUAGCCCAAGUGAAUCCUAAAGUACAUCAAUCACCCUUCCUUGGCUCAUGUUCCAGGACCUGUGCUGAGAAUCUUAAAUAAAUUAUCCCAUUGAUUUCUCA
Molecule: long non-coding RNA, 1122 nt
Filed under: Felis catus (domestic cat)
Lineage: Eukaryota; Metazoa; Chordata; Mammalia; Carnivora; Felidae
Description: lncRNA (ENSFCAG00000050136.1)
Source: RNAcentral